Non-coding RNA from Mycena sp. CBHHK59/15, 87 nucleotides. Lineage: Eukaryota; Fungi; Basidiomycota; Agaricomycetes; Agaricales; Mycenaceae. The record is from the annotation of a GenBank genome assembly.
GCCCUUGUAGCUCAGCGGUAGAGCGCAGCACUCGUACAAAUGUACACAAUUAUGCUGAGGUCAGUCGUUCAAUCCGGCUCGGGGGCA